AAAAGGAAAAUUAAUAAUUUAGGGGUAAUAAAAGUAAUUUUAAUAUUAAAAUAGGGGGUUUAAGUAUUUUAAUAGAAAAAAUUAGAAAUUUUAUAGUUAAUUAGUAUAGUAAUAGAAAUUUGAAAUAUAAUAAAAUAAAUUUAAUAAAAAGUAAAUUUAAGUUGUUGUAUCUUGUGUAUCAGAGUUUAUUAAAUAAUAUUUAUGAAUAUUUAAAUAUCUCGAAUUUAAAAGAGUUAAUUAAUUAAUAAAUUUAAUGUAAAAUAAUUAUUUUAAAUAAUUAAUUUGAAAUGAAAUGUUAUUCGUUUUUAAAUAUAUCUAGUUUUUUUAGAAAAAAAUUUAAUUUUUAAUUUUUUUUUAAUUUAUUUAAUUGUUUAAUUUAGUUAAAGAAAAAAUUAUAUAAUUUAAGGGAUAAGCUUUAAAUUAAAAAUUUAUAAUAAAAAUUUAAUAUUUAAAAUUUUUAAAAUUUAUAUUGUUUAUAAAUUAAAAUUUUUUAUAAAAAAUUUUAAAAAAAAUAAAAUUUAAAUUAAUUUAAAUUUUUAUAAAAAUAUAUUUUAUAAUUUUAUAUAAUUAGUGAUAAUGAUAAAAUUAGUAUAAAAAUAAAUAAAUUUAUAAUAAAUUAUUUAAUAAUUAAUUAAAAGGAAUUCGGCAAAUUAUUAUAUUCACCUGUUUAACAAAAACAUGUCUUUUUGAUUUUAAUUUAAAGUCUAAUCUGCCCACUGAUUUAAAAAUUAAAGGGCUGCAGUAAUUUGACUGUACAAAGGUAGCAUAAUCAUUAGUCUUUUAAUUGAAGACUUGUAUGAAAGAUUUGAUGAAAUAUAAACUGUCUCUAAAUUAAGUAUAGAAUUUAAUUUUUUAGUUAAAAAGCUAAAAUGAAUUUAAAAGACGAGAAGACCCUAUAGAGUUUUAUAUUAUUAAAAUUAAAAUAUUUAUAUAUAAUUUAAUUGUUUUAUUUUUAAUAUUAUUUUAUUGGGGUGAUAAAAAAAUUAAAUAAACUUUUUUUUUAAUUAAACAUAAAUAAUUGAAUAAUUGAUCCUGUAUUAAGAUUAAAAGAAAAAAUUACCUUAGGGAUAACAGCGUAAUAUUUUUUUUUAGUACAAAUAAGAAAAAAAGUUUGCGACCUCGAUGUUGGAUUAAGAUAAAAUUUAAAUGCAAAAGUUUAAAAUUUUGAUCUGUUCGAUCAUUAAAAUCUUACAUGAUCUGAGUUCAAACCGGUGUAAGCCAGGUUGGUUUCUAUCUUUAGAAAAAUAAAAUGUUUUAGUACGAAAGGAUCAAAUAUUUAAAAUAAUUUUUUAUAAAUGAAUUUUAUUAAUAAGUGUUAAAUAUAUGUAUGUAUAUAUGUAAAUAUAUAUAUAUAUA
Molecule: ribosomal RNA, 1356 nt
Filed under: Jamides bochus
Lineage: Eukaryota; Metazoa; Arthropoda; Insecta; Lepidoptera; Lycaenidae
Description: 16S ribosomal RNA
Source: RNAcentral